This 97-nucleotide non-coding RNA is filed under the name Planctomycetota bacterium. Its description in RNAcentral is "Planctomycetes bacterium c-di-GMP sequence". It matches the Rfam family "c-di-GMP-I-GGC riboswitch aptamer". Lineage: Bacteria; Pseudomonadati; Planctomycetota. The record is from RNAcentral.
UACGACAAAGGCAAACCCUAAGCGAUUAGGGGACGCAAAGUAAAGGGUCUUUAAGUUCUUAAGGAUUAUUGAGGGAAAGACAGCCUUGCUACCGAAA